UACAGAGGGUGCGAGCGUUAAUCGGAAUUACUGGGCGUAAAGCGCACGUAGGCGGCUUGGUAUGUCGGGUGUGAAAUCCCCGGGCUCAACCUGGGAACUGCAUCCGAAACUGCCUUGCUAGAGUAUGGGAGAGGGAAGUGGAAUUUCCGGUGUAGCGGUGAAAUGCGUAGAUAUCGGAAGGAACAUCAGUGGCGAAGGCGGCUCUCUAGUACGGUACUGACGCUGAGACGCGAAAGCGUGGGGAGCAAACAGG
RNAcentral lists this ribosomal RNA (253 nucleotides) under uncultured bacterium. Its description in RNAcentral is "partial 16S ribosomal RNA". It matches the Rfam family "Bacterial small subunit ribosomal RNA", at positions 524 to 776 of the family's 1533-position model. The record is from RNAcentral.